GAGCCUGCUUCACGGCCAUCUUAAGCGGAACAGACCGGUUAUCUCGUUUCCCCAAGAACUGCCUGACCGAGCCGCCUCUGGCGAACUCGGUGACGAUGCACCAUACCAUCGGCUUCCUGCAUGCCCCGAUGAAGCGGACCACAUUCGGGUGCUGUAGCGUGGCAAGCAUCCUCACUUCCUGGGCAAACUGUUGUUCCAUCAGGUGCGCCUUCCCGGGGUCAUCCACGGUCCGCUCCAGGAGCUUGAUUGCCACUUCUUCCCCGCUGUACGUACCCUUGUAGAGCUUCCCAAAGGCCCCCUGCGCGAAGGGCAUGCCCAUGUUUAGCUUCCUCAGAUCGAUGGUCCACUCG
This 350-nucleotide long non-coding RNA is filed under the name Spirodela polyrhiza (greater duckweed). RNAcentral describes it as "long non-coding RNA (SPOL_LNC000685)". Lineage: Eukaryota; Viridiplantae; Streptophyta; Magnoliopsida; Alismatales; Araceae. The record is from RNAcentral.